UGGGGUAUAUUGGACAAUGGGCGCAAGCCUGAUCCAGCCAUGCCGCGUGAGUGAUGAAGGCUCUAGGGUUGUACAGCUCUUUCACCGGUGAAGAUAAUGACGGUAACCGGAGAAGAAGCCCCGGCUAACUUCGUGCCAGCAGCCGCGGUAAUACGAAGGGGGCUAGCGUUGUUCGGAUUUACUGGCCGUAAAGCGCACGUAGGCGGACUUUUAAGUCAGGGGUGAAAUCCCGGGGCUCAACCCCGGAACUGCCUUUGAUACUGGAAGUAUUGAGUAUGGUAGAGGUGAGUGGAAUUCCGGGUGUAGAAGUGGAAUUCGGAGAUAUUCGGAGGAACAACAGUGGCGAAGGCGGCUCACUGGACCAUUACUGACGAUGAGGUGCGAAAGCAUGGGGAGCAAAGAGG
RNAcentral lists this ribosomal RNA (404 nucleotides) under Actinomycetes bacterium. RNAcentral describes it as "Actinobacteria bacterium partial 16S ribosomal RNA". It matches the Rfam family "Bacterial small subunit ribosomal RNA", at positions 355 to 776 of the family's 1533-position model. The record is from RNAcentral. Lineage: Bacteria; Bacillati; Actinomycetota; Actinomycetes.